AUUGAACGCUGGCGGCAUGCCUUACACAUGCAAGUCGAACGGCAGCACGGGUGCUUGCACCUGGUGGCGAGUGGCGAACGGGUGAGUAAUACAUCGGAACGUACCUUAUCGUGGGGGAUAACGCAGCGAAAGCUGUGCUAAUACCGCAUACGCCCUGAGGGGGAAAGCGGGGGAUCGCAAGACCUCGCGCGAUUAGAGCGGCCGAUGCCUGAUUAGCUUGUGUGGUGGGGUAAAAGCCCACCAAGGCGACGAUCAGUAGCUGGUCUGAGAGGACGAUCAGCCACUCGGGGACUGAGACACGGCCCCGACUCCUACGGGAGGCAGCAGUGGGGAAUUUUGGACAAUGGGGGCAACCCUGAUCCAGCAAUGCCGCGUGAGUGAAGAAGGCCUUCGGGUUGUAAAGCUCUUUUGUCAGGGAAGAAACACCGGCUCUAACACAGUCCGGGAAUGACGGUACCUGAAGAAUAAGCACCGGCUAACUACGUGCCAGCAGCCGCGGUAA
RNAcentral lists this ribosomal RNA (502 nucleotides) under uncultured bacterium. RNAcentral's name for it is "partial 16S ribosomal RNA". It matches the Rfam family "Bacterial small subunit ribosomal RNA", at positions 29 to 523 of the family's 1533-position model. The record is from RNAcentral.